RNAcentral lists this long non-coding RNA (540 nucleotides) under Zostera marina. Its description in RNAcentral is "long non-coding RNA (ZMAR_LNC002650)". The record is from RNAcentral. Lineage: Eukaryota; Viridiplantae; Streptophyta; Magnoliopsida; Alismatales; Zosteraceae.
UUCUGCAAGUACUCAUGUUCCGACUGCAACUUCGACUCCAAGUACUUCAACUCCUCAAAUUCCAACUCCAACUCCUCAAGGUUCGAGUACUCCAACUCCAACUCCUCAAGGUUCGAGUACUCCAACUCCAACUCCAAAUCAAAUUCCAACUCCAACUCCAACUCCUCAAGGUUCGAGUACUCCAACUAUUCAAGUACCAACAACAAUGGGUGAAUCUAAUUCCGACUCCGACUCGGACCUCAGAGAUAAUGAUGGUAACUAACUAAUUAUAAUCGAUGUGUAUAUUAUAUAAUUGAUUGAUUUAUGUGUAUUUAUCGACUCAUUAUUUUUUAUUUCAGAAUUGAGUCUACCAAACAGAGGAGGUAGAAACUUAGAUCAUCCGGAAGAUCACCCCAAACAAAGUGAAAGAUAUAAAAUAGAAUGGGAGCCAACACACAUGCAACUAACUGGACAUCUGCGUAAGAAAUUUAAUGCUAUGAUCAAUAGAGUCGCAAAAAUGCAUACAAUUUUUCCAUUGAAUGUGAACUGGCCGAAACAAAC